AAAAUAAUCCUACCCUUUGUGAAUUUUGUUUGUUUGAAUAAUUUUUUUUUUAAAAAUUAUUGGAGUCUUUCCCUUUAGUUUGCUUUUGAGUUUGUAAAAGAAUUCGAAAACAUCUAGAGGGGAUGGUCAAUAAUUUUUUUGAAAAAAGACAUUUUUUAAAAUUAAACUUUUUGUAUUCAUUUGUCUAAAAAUUAUUUUUAUAAUAUAAAAACAACUUUUGACAAUGGAUCUCUUGGUUCUCGCAACGAUGAAGAACGCAGCAAAAUGCGAUAAGUAGUGUGAAUUGCAGAAUACGUGAAUCAUCGAAUCUUUGAACGCAUAUUGCACUUUUUUAGUUUACUAAAAAAGUAUGUCUGUUUGAGUAUCAGUAAAAUAUUCUCAUAAAAAUCAUUGUAUUUUUAUGGUUAUGAGUGUUUUACAACGAUACAAGUUGUUUCACUUUAAAUUUUUUUUUAAUAUUGAAAUUUUUCUAAUUUUAAUAAUUAAAAUUGGAUAAAAUUUUCCCGUCAAAAGGAAUAACCUAAACAAUUUUAAACGAUUAAUUUUAGCAAAAUUUUCGUAAAAAAGGAAAAUUUUUAUUAAAAUAACUUGAUCUCAAAUCAGAUAAGAGUACCCGCUGAACUUAAGCAUAUCAAUAAGCGGAGGAAAAGAAACUAACAAGGAUUCCCUUAGUAACGGCGAGUGAAGCGGGAAGAGCUCAAAUUUGAAAUCUUCAAGGUUUUACCUUGACGAAUUGUAGUUUAAAGAAGUGUUUUCUGCAGAAGUUUUGGUAAAAGUUCUUUGGAAUAGGACAUCAUAGAGGGUGAGAAUCCCGUAUUUGACCAUUAUUUUCAGCUUUGUGAUACACUUUCAAAGAGUCGGAUUGUUUGGGAAUGCAGUCCAAAAUGGGUGGUAAAUUUCAUCUAAAGCUAAAUAUUGGCGAGAGACCGAUAGCGAACAAGUACCGUGAGGGAAAGACGAAAAGAACUUUGAAAAGAGAGUUAAACAGUACGUGAAAUUGUCAAAAGGGAAGCGUUUGACACCAGUGUUGUUUUCUCGAAGAUCAAUUAAAAAUGGCUCGAUUUUGUAUUGCUGAGACCUUAAAAGCUCACUGUACAUUUUUCGUGUCUUUUUUAAUGCACUUUUCGUUUAACAAGUCAACAUCAGUUUCUUUUGUUGUAAAAGGGUCAUUGGGAGGUGGCUUUCUUUUCGGAGAAAGUGUUUAUAGCCUUUGGCCUCUGCAAUCGAAGAGACUGAGGUCUGCAGCGUAGACUCUUCGGGGUUAGAUACAUUUGUGCUAAGUUAUAGCUUUUUAUAGACAACUUGUUGACUAUAAUUAGUCUUGUAGCUUACUCGCUUAUGCUAUUUUA
RNAcentral lists this unclassified non-coding RNA (1349 nucleotides) under uncultured Neocallimastigales. RNAcentral's name for it is "partial contains internal transcribed spacer 1, 5.8S ribosomal RNA, internal transcribed spacer 2, and large subunit ribosomal RNA". The stretch from base 590 to 1349 matches the Rfam family "Eukaryotic large subunit ribosomal RNA", at positions 1 to 619 of the family's 3401-position model. The record is from RNAcentral. Lineage: Eukaryota; Fungi; Neocallimastigomycota; Neocallimastigomycetes; Neocallimastigales.